RNAcentral lists this unclassified non-coding RNA (296 nucleotides) under Hevea brasiliensis (rubber tree). The record is from RNAcentral. Lineage: Eukaryota; Viridiplantae; Streptophyta; Magnoliopsida; Malpighiales; Euphorbiaceae.
AUCUUUGCCAUAAGAUGAGGGCUCUGGCUGUUCUAUUCCGAAGGGGGAGGACACCUCCUCUACCUCAAAGCCUUGAGCUUAACUUGAGAGCUCGGAAGCGGUCCCUCGAAGACCAAGAGGAAUUGAUGUGAAGUUCACUUGGUGUCGGCAAAUUGAGAUCUCACCUUACCAAAGUUGAAAAUCACAAUAUUGUAAUUGAAAUGAUAUCGGCAAAUUGUAUGAUAUGAUGAAACAUUAUUCGGUGUACACAUUUUCUUACAUGUGUUCAAUGGUCUUGAUUUUUCUAUGGAAGAAAG